CAAAUAUAUUAUUAGACCAUGAGAGGCUGAUGAUGAACAAAAUAAUUAGCUAAAUAAGUUAUUUAUAUUUUCUUACAUGUAACAAUUAGUAAUAAUUGAUAAAUUUGCUGUGUCAUGGGUCACAAUUGACAGCAUAUACUUUCCUAUGAAAAAAGGAGGAAAGUCAAUUUAAUUUCCUGAAACCACACUAUUUUGGUCAAUCACACUACAAGUGCCAUCUCUGGCAAGGUGUGUGUGUGUGCAUCUGUGUGUAUUUAUGUAUGUAUGUGUUCAUGUUAAUUUGCAUGAUGGGCAGCAUGUGAAUAUUUAUGUUUGUGCCUUGCAAAUGUGUGGCAAAUGGUCCUGGUCUUAUGGUGCUGGUCUUUGUGUCCUUAUUAGGGCAGCACUGGCAUUUCUAUCUCUUGUUUUGGAUUUGUUUAGGAUUAAUAUAACUCCACACUACAAAGGCAUUGUAAGCCAAAACACCAAAGAUCUUGUAAAAGACGACCAUUUCCCACCUUGCUGUCAUCCAUAUGCAGGUGUAAGUGCCAGUCACCUGGCCUAAGCUGUCAACUCCUCCUUUAUUGAUUGUAUUCCAGGAUUACUCCAGUGGAGGGCGCUCAUCAGUAUCACACUUUUGUUCCUCUAGGGUCACUAUAACACGUGUGGUGUCUCCAGUUAAGGCAAACUUCGAGGAGAGCGCGAGAGAGCUUCGGCCUAUAUACUGCUAUACAGCUGGGGGACAGGAGAUGUGUGUGUGUGUGUAUGUAAUGAAAGAGAGAGUGCAGAUGUGCACAUGGGAUCAUAUUUGUUGCAUGUCACUCGACAAUUGAAUUCAAGUCAAUAUGCUUUCUUGGCAUGAAACCAUUUUUAUAUUAUUACACAAUAUUAUUAUACUAUUGUAAUAUGAUUUUAUUGUUAUUCUUUUAGUUUUGCCAAAAAACUAAGCAUAUAAAUUCCAAAUUCCAACCAGUUCAUGAUCGGAAUGGGGGAGAUGGCAAUGGCUGUGUAGGAUGUGGUGUUAUUAGACAUUUUCUGAGAGGGUUUUCUGAAAAUGGUAUCUGUCUUAAUUCAAGGGGAAGUCGUCAGGCAACGCCUAGUAAAGGUUGAGUGCAUUGCCUAAACUGUGACUGCAAGAAAAAAACGAGAAGGAAUGAAGUCAAAGUUUAAGACCGGAUGACAGUAUUCAGUGCAUUGUCUUUUCUUUCCUCAAGAAGUAGAUGCAUAUAGGCAUGGGAUGAACUUUGUGAAUAAAGACAAUGUAAACAUUGAAUGUUGAUACUGUAACAUUUGAAUGUCCAUUGUGGUAGUCUUAAUUGAGAAUUAAAUUACUUAUCAACAGAUUUAAAUUAAUUAAACAACAAAGAUGACUUUGUAAUUAUUAUAAUGUAUAGGCUUGCAUGAAAUAACAAAGUACAUUCUUUUUAAAUCCUGUUGGGUCUUAAAAGACAAAAGACAACAUAUUACAAUUUUAUAAAGAUAAUUUGCAAAUGAGUAGGCCAGUUUCUCUGAAAAGUAUUGCAAUCACACUGACCAUAAAAAAGUACUAUAACAUUACAAUAAAGUGCAAAUUUUCUUUUUACUCUGAUUUCAUUUUACAGCAGAAGUUAUGUAAAGCAUUCAAAAUACAUUUUCCACAUAUAAGAUCAAUUCAAAAUUAUUUGCAUUGACUCGGCAGCAGAAUAUCUUCUUUUUUUUUUUUUAAACAUCUUCAACAAUUUAUGAAAGAAAGAGCAUGAAUGACACAAAAUAUUUGGAAACAAAGCAAGAGAUGUGAGACAAAAAGAUUGGAAAACACAGAUGUCUAGCGCUAUUUUAACAUGCUGAGUGAUGUUAGCCUAUAGAAAGUUGUUACUAUUACCUGUAUUUCAUAAUUGAUCACUUAUAUGACCCUUAAUCUCAAGGUCAGGGGUCACUUCUGAACAGUUUGACCAGUUGUUAUUGAAAGUUGAAAUUGUACAACCCCAUUUCCAGAAAGUUUGAAUGCUAUAUAAAAUGGGAAUAAUGCACCGAUCCAUAACAAUUCAGGUCUGGGGAACGUGAGGGCCAGUCAAUGGCAUCAAGGCCUUCGUCAUCAAGGAACUGCCUACAUACUCUGGCCAAAAGGCCGGGCAUUGUCCUGAACCAGGAGGAACCCAGGGCCCACUGCACCAGUGUAAGGUCUGAUGAUGGUACUGCAGUCAGGGUACCGUUGGCUAGCACAUGGAGGUCUGUGCGACUCUCCAAGGAUAUGCCUCCCCAGACCAUCACUGACCCACCGCCAAACCGGUCAUGCUGGAUGAUGUUGCAGGCAGCAUAACGUUCACCACGCUGUCUCCAGACUCUAUCAGAGAACGAGGCGCCAAUGGCAGAACUGUCAAUUCUGGUGUUCUCUGGCGAAUGCCAAUCGAGCUGCACGGUGCUGGGCUGUGAGCACAGUUCCCACUAGAGGGCCUCAAGCCACCCUCAUGGAGUCUGUUUCUGACAGUUUGGUCAGAAACAUGCACAACAGUAGCCCACUGGAGGUCAUUUUGUAGGGCUCUGGCAGUGCUCCUCCUCUUCCUUGUCGCACAAAGGAGCAGAUAACAGUCCUGCUGCUGGGUUGAUGCCCUUCUACGGCCAUGUCCAGCUCUCCUCGUGUAACGGCCAGUCUCCUGGUAUCCCCUCCAUGCUCUUGAGACUGUACUGGGAUGAAAUGAUGUAUACUGAUAUCAAAUGAUGUGCACAUCAUUUCAUUCUGAUUUUAUUUGCAUUUUACGCAGAGCCCAACUUUUUUGUAAAUGGGGUUGUAACAUAACAGAUCUCACAAAAUAAAUGCUUAUUGCUCUGUGGGUUUAAGUGGAAAGCCUUGUACAGUUGAUUCACCCUAUUUAAAGAGCAACCAUUUCUGGGUUCCUCUAAGUGUAUACACAAUGUGGGGGUGGGGACGAACAAGAGUCCAGGUUAGUGUAUAAAACGAUGAAGUGCAUUUAAGAGUUAACUACAAUCACAAAGCGAUAGGCUGUAGAGUCUUCCAACCUAAUUAAUUACUGGGCCAUAAUGAUUAUGCCAGGUAUGGAAUACCUUGGGAUAUCAUUCUCUGUGAGGAGCUACUGUUGCUGUUUUGUUUCAAAAUUAUGUAUGUUAAUUGUCAGGUGUUUGAAAGUUGUAGUCAUAUUGAUGGGAUUACAUGGAUUGCACCUGGCACCGAACAGAUUCUGAUUAACAAAAUCUGUCUGCAUCAUCUCUGUGUGGUCAUGAGCAGCAUCUCUGUCUGCAUCAUCUCUGUGUGGUGAUGAACAAUGCCUCUGUCUGCAUCAUCUCUGAGUGGUGAUGAACAAUGCCUCUGUCUGCAUCAUCUCUGUGUGGUGAUGAACAGCUUCUCUGUCUGCAUCAUCUCUGUGUGGUGAUGAACAUCGCCUCUGUCUGCAUCAUCUCUGUGUGGUGAUGAACAAUGCCUCUGUCUGCAUCAUCUCUGUGUGGUCAUGAGCAGCAUCUCUGUCUGCAUCAUCUCUGUGUGGUGAUGAACAAUGCCUCUGUCUGCAUCAUCUCUGUGUGGUGAUGAACAAUGCCUCUGUCUGCAUCAUCUCUGUGUGGUGAUGAACAGCAUCUCUGUCUGCAUCAUCUCUGUGUGGUGAUGAACAACGCCUCUGUCUGCAUCAUCUCUGUGUGGUGAUGAACAGCAUCUCUGUCUGCAUCAUCUCUGUGUGGUGAUGAACAUGAUCUCUGUCUGCAUCAUCUCUGUGUGGUGAUGAACAACGCCUCUGUCUGCAUCAUCUCUGUGUGGUGAUGAACAACUCCUCUGUCUGCAUCAUCUCUGUGUGGUGAUGAACAACUCCUCUGUCUGCAUCAUCUCUGUGUGGUGAUGAACAACUCCUCUGUCUGCAUCAUCUCUGGGUGGUUACUGUCAUGUUAUAAUAGAGUAAGUAUGAUAUGGCCUAAGAUAUAUUCACUAAUCAGCACACACACACACCCACACACACACAGUGUCGUCUCCAUGCCCCUUUCCCAUUCUAAAGCCCUGAGUUUAAAUCUGGGAGAGUUAGCAUUGCUCUGUCUAAAAAAACAAUUGGGUGGUGGGUGCGUAUCGGCGGUGUGAUGUGUGUACGUGUGUAUGUGUGUUUUUAAUGAAAUGACACAGUACGUUGUGUUUGCAUGUCUGUCUAUGUUGUUUGCUGAUGCUAACAUAUAUUUUUACAUAAUCACAUUGGAGGAACAUCAGUGUCAGGACAGAUGAAACGAAGUGAAAUAUAAUGUCUUGACAUCAACCAUACAACAGUUAAGUUCCAGACUGAGGGUUUUGCUCUACGCCAUUCCAAAGCAAUGAGGAUUCACACAAUGUCCAUGUGUCUCAGAUAUUAAUCACUGUAUGGGGAAUAUCAGAACAGCAUAAUGGGUUUAAUGUUUAACUCAAUGGCCACUUUAUUAGGUACACAGCCUGUUUUGGCUAUUUGUAGCGCAAAUAGCAAAACAGGCUGCAACUCAAUUUACUAAGAAUGCAGACUUGGUCAAUAGGUUAUGUUGAUCCUUGAAGCAGAUGUAGGCAAAAGGGGGUCCUACUUGAUACUUGAAAGAUGUACAAUCUAUCUAGUAACAGGUAAUAAAGUUGCCAGUGAGUGAAAAAAAAAGUUUUUUAUAUAUAGUGCCUUCCAAUAUAUUAAAACCCUUGAUCAAUUCUCUCAUAUUGCUGAAUUACAAUUAAUACAUUGACAUUUUGCUAAUUUUCUUUUUUAAAACACUGACAUUUAAAAUCAAUUGUAAGGCAACAUUGGUUUUAUGUUGGGAAUGAUAACAUUUGGUAAUAUGUUGCAUACAUAAGUAUUCAACCCUACACAUUUAAAUUUAGUAGACAACUUUAGGUCUUUUGUUAAGUAUGAACCAGCUUUGUAAACUGUCAGACUGAUUUUUGCCCAUUGUUCUUGGUAGAUUUUGGUCGAGGUUGAUUGGAUGAUGCUUCUGGGCUGCAAUCAUCAAAUAUUGCCAAAGCUUUUCAAUGGGAUUGAGAUCAGGACUCGGGCCACUGUAGGAUAUUCACUUAUUUGUUCCACAAUGUUUCUUCAUGAAAGACUGAAGCAAGUACUCCUGCAUAUUUCAGUGUAUUUUUCCUCAUUCAUUAUUUCCUCAAAUUUACCAAGGUCCCCAAUCCCUACUAAAGAGAAACAUCACCAUUUGCAUGGCUCUGCCACCAACAUACUUUAUUUUAGGGAUGUCUUGUCCUGUUGCAUGGGAACACAUAGCUAUUGGGGUUUAGCCAACAAUCUCAAUAUUGGUCUCAUCUGACAACAAGAUGACCCCACCUUUUCUUACAUCGCAGCUGGGUCAUUCACAUGGUUUCCAUAGUACUUUUCGACUUAUCCAGAGCUGGGGUGGGGUGACUGGUGCACCAUUACCCCACCCCCAGCCUCUGAACACUGUAGCUCCCUCAAAGUUAUUGUUAGCCUUUCUGUGGCUUUUUGCAGUCUCCUUCUUGUUCAAGCACUGAGUUUUGGGGUACAGCCUUUUCUUGGCAGUGCCCUGGUGGUGUGCUGCAGCUUCCACUUACUGAUUAUUAAUGCUCACUGAAAUAUCCAAACUCUUGGAUGUCAUUUCCUAAUCUACGCCUGUGUACUUGUCUAAUGUAUCUAUUGUCUUAACUUUCCUUUACAUUCACAUCCUGACCAGUGAUCCUUCAACAGUGGGUAUUGAUCCAGAAAAUGUGAUAGCAACUGUAAAUACUCACAAGUGGAAGCCAAUGGUAAACUGGGAGCUUCCACAGCAUACGAGUUGAAUAUUUAUGCAAAGCAACAUAUUUUAUUUAUUUCUCACAAAUAUUUCCCAAUAUAAAACCAAUGUCACCUUACAGUAAUUGAUUCUCCAUGUUAGUGUUUUAAAAUAAAAUAACAAUUAACAAAUGUUCCAUUUAUAAUUCAAUAACAUUUGAGAAUUGGUCAGGGGUUUGAAAACCUUUGCACAGCAAUGAAAUCAGGUAUAUACAAUAUGUAAUAAGUCACAGGAAUCUGGUGUGGUCCUGGGAGUAGGAGCACAUCCAUUUCUGCUCAGAGAAUCAACGUUUCUGCUUUAUCCAAUAUGUAACAAUGUUCCUGAUAAUUUGCAUGCACGUUCUGUAUACAGGUAGGCACUUCCUAAACAAAACAGGCCGUAUUCACUCAAAGCAAUUCUAUCAAUCCAGUGAAAAAACGAAUAGGAGUAACGGGAAUUUGUUCCAGGGAAUUUUAGGUGAGAACAAUGAAUUGUUAAGAGUACUGUCACAUACAAUAAUGUAUAUUUGUAUCGAAAGCAAAUAACUGUGAGGACAUACACGUUUAGUAGGCGUAUGAUCUCUGCAGGAAAUCAUCUCCCAACCUUGGCAUUGCCGACACCACUCGUACCAACUGAGCCACAGGACUGCUGGAACACAAACAGCAACAUUCAUCACAGCUGAAAUGAAAUCAUUCUCUGUAUACUUUAGAAGAAGAGGUUAUGAAUUUCUUGCUUUCCCAGCCUCCAGUCACUGGAGAUGUCUGUUCAUAUUGAAUACUUAUUUCACCUUCUAAAUCAGGGGUUUUUUCACUACACGGUCAGGAAAAAUUCCUGGCCCUCGUCCUUGGGUCCACACCCGUGUUUGUCCUGAUAGGCAAAGCAGCAUUCAUAAUCAUUUGUAUCACAGGCAACAUAUUUCAAUUCAUGGUAGCUCAAAAUCAAAAGCAUGACUUGUAUGCAUUUUGUUUGAAAGAUAACUUGUUUUCUGCCUAGUUCUUUAUAUUUUUUUCUUAAACAUAAAAUGUAAUCAAUAUCAUGCUUUAGCAAAAUGUUCUUUUGAAUUACACUUAUAUCAAACACUGGUAAAGUGUAAUAGUUAAAAUCUCUUACAGUUCAUAGCCACAAAAAUGUUGAUAUUGUUUUGUUUGCCCUGUUUGUCUUAGUUCUCAUGCACAUCGAUCCAUGGUUAGUAUUUACAUUAUUUACAAACAAUACAACUGUCUUGUAUACUGGGUGUCUAUCUGUUCAUGUUAUUGGUAUAGAAGUAAAAUAAUAUAGAAUCUUAAAUACAGUAUUUUCGUAUGAAAAAGAUCCAGGGUCUCCAUAUAUACCCAUACCUCGUCAUUUUAUGUACAGAGAUGCUCAAUAGUCAAAAAUAUGGGUUGGGCUUCCCUCUGUAAGGGCUAAUAUAGGGACCACUGUCCUAGAUGGGAUAACAUAUAGCGUGGGGACUUCUCAAAGUCAAUAAGAAGUCAAGGCAAUGCAUUGUGACACUCUCGUCAAAACCAAAUGCAGCGUUCUGAAGUUCACAUUAAGAACAAAUUGACAGAGACAGUUACCAUCUGAACUGUCACACAUCACCACACAGUAGGGGUCUUAAAUGACUCGCACCAAAAUGCUAUUGUCUUUCUGUGAAUUAACUUACGGUAAAACAAUAAAAAAAACUUGAAUACAAUUAGAAAAUAUAUAGAUAAGGCCAUACAAACUUAACGAACUGUUGAAAAUGUUUUUUUAAGUAUUUAAAAAAAUAAUAAUGUUAUGGUUGCCACUUGUUUGUGAAGAGGGGCAUUCGUUUUUACAGUAAAUCAACUUAGUAUGGCCUGAUACAUAAACGCACAGAGAACCCAGGAUACUUUCCUUACAUUGAGCACAUUAUAAACACGGGGUAGAGACGGGUUGAUGAGGACAGAAGAGAAACACCACUACACAUAAAGACUAAAGAAACAACACUUAAGCAGUUUGGUUAGCAUGCAGGAGCUUACAGCUCAAACACAUGCAAUAGAUUCAAGAAGCAGACCCACACAUCUGGCUAGCAAAAUGCUGCCUCAGAAAAUGACUUCAUAGUCAAAGUUACAAAUUAAGACAUUGUUAUUAAGACCCAAUCUAUUAAUGUUUUUCUUACAUUCAAGUGUAGUCCUUUUUGGGUGAUUGGUUGACACGUCUCGCCAGCCAAUCAAAGUGUGAUGUCACAUUGACUUGCCAACUGCCAUAAAAGCCAUGAAAGAACAAGAGUUAGCAGAAAACAGUGCAUGCAUACAGGACACAGGAGUGAUAUUUGGUUUAUGAUUUCCUUUCCUAAAAUUGAUCAUUUAAAAUAGAAAAUACAGCAGGUCCCAUUUAGAUAAUGCACGUCAAUGCCAUUGUUACCCAUCAGAAAACCAAGCGUCCUAUUCACUGUGUUGAACGCGAUCAACGACUGAACAGGGCCUGUCUUCAAGUGCGUCCGUUUCCUUUUCUCUUUUUUGAAAAAGCAUUGAUCCGUAACGAGUGCAAAGAUGCCGUGAGGGGAUGUAGUUUCUCCCUGUGAGGAAGGUGAAAGGAAAGCCAUACUCUGACCAGACAGGUCCAUGUGUUCAUCAGAGCAGCCUCCUAGAUACAGUUGCCAUGUGUCCCUGUCUGUUUGGGAGGCGAGGAGGAGAAGGGUUGUCCCUGUGUUGUGAUAUAGUUGCCAUGUAGACCUGGUCCUCCCGUCUGAGUGUUACGUGUCUGUUUGGGAAGUGUUUCUCUGUCUGAAGAGCGGUGGGAGACCGGGAGGCAGGAGUGUAGACUGGGAAGUAACCCCACUGUGAGAACUGUCUGAGGAGACGGAGAAGGGAGUUGCCCCCAUGUGAGGCAGAGGGAGGCAGGAGUGUAGACUGGGAAGUAACCCCACUGUGAGAACUGUCUGAGGAGAGGGAGAAGGGAGUUGCCCCCGUGUGAGGCAGAGGGAGGCAGGGAUCGGACAGGGAAGAGAUGGGUGUAGAUGAGCUCACAGGGUGAGGCGGCUCUGUGUUGGGCUGGCUGGUGAGCUCUCAGGACCCCUGGCCUUUCUCUGCUCUCUUGCCCUGGAGGAGAGAAGAGCCCCUGGUCAGACACACACUCCACACACCAGUCUGAUGGUCAGACACACACACUCACACCAGUCUGAUGGUCAGACACACACUCACACCAGUCUGAUGGUCAGACACACACACUCACACCAGUCUGAUGGUCAGACACACACUCACACCAGUCUGAUGGUCAGACACACACUCCACACACCAGUCUGAGGGUCAGACACACACACUCACACCAGUCUGAUGGUCAGACACACACUCACACCAGUCUGAUGGUCAGACACACACUCACACACCAGUCUGAUGGUCAGACACACACUCACACCAGUCUGAUGGUCAGACACACACUCACACCAGUCUGAUGGUAAGACACACACUCCACACACCAGUCUGAUGGUCAGACACACACUCACACCAGUCUGAUGGUCAGACACACACUCACACCAGUCUGAUGGUCAGACACACACUCCACACACCAGUCUGAUGGUCAGACACACACUCCACACACCAGUCUGAUGGUCAGACACACACACACACACACCAGUCUGAUGGUCAGACACACACACUCACACCAGUCUGAUGGUCAGACACACACUCACACCAGUCUGAUGGUCAGACACACACUCACACCAGUCUGAUGGUCAGACACACACUCCACACAAUGGUCUGAUGGUCAGACACACACACUCACACCAGUCUGAUGGUCAGACACACACACUCACACCAGUCUGAUGGUCAGACACACACUCACACCAGUCUGAUGGUCAGACACACACACUCCCACCAGUCUGAUGGUCAGACACACACUCCACACACCAGUCUGAUGGUCAGACACACACUCACACCAGUCUGAUGGUCAGACACACACACUCACACCAGUCUGAUGGUCAGACAGACACUCACACCAGUCUGAUGGUCAGACACACACACACACCAGUCUGAUGGUCAGACACACACACCCCCACCAGUCUGAUGGUCAGACACACACUCACACCAGUCUGAUGGUCAGACACACACUCACACCAGUCUGAUAGUCAGACAGACACUCACACCAGUCUGAUGGUCAGACACACACUCACACCAGUCUGAUAGUCAGACAGACACUCACACCAGUCUGAUGGUCAGACACACACUCACACCAGUCUGAUGGUCAGACACACACUCACACCAGUCUGAUGAUCAGACACACACUCCACACACCAGUCUGAUGGUCAGACAAACUCCACACACCAGUCUGAUGAUCACACUCAGUUACUGUUUUCACAAGACUUAAGGUGGGCGGUCUCCUAACACACCCAUACACAGAAAUACAACCCUUCACCCACAAAGCCAAACAUAAGAGCAGGAUUUCCUGGGGCAGACCAAACAAGAGAGAAGCUCCUCCCACAUAGGAAGCAAUGUCACUCAAAGCAUGCCCCACUCCCUGGAAGUAAAGAAGCAAGACCCGCCCCUGUCUGUCAGUCAUGCAGCAAUACCAGCAUCAUUCAGCAACCUCCUGAGAGGUGUAGAGGGAGAGAAGAGAAGAAGCCAGGGAGAGAGAGGAGGAGAGAGUGGAGGAGAGGGAGGAGGAGAGAGUGGAGGAGAGGGAGGAGGAGAGUGUGGAGGAGAGGGAGGGAGGUAGACAGAGAAAGAGAGUGUGUCUCAGGUUUGGACUGACCCUGAGUUUCCUCUCUCCCUUUCAGAGAGCUGACAUGCAAACAGGCAUCAGCCACAGGGAGAGAGAGGGGAGAGAGAGAGAGGGAGAGAGAGGGAGAGAGAGGGGAGAGAGAGAGAGGGAGAGAGGGAGAGAGAGGGAGAGAGAGGGAGAGAGGGAUGGGGAGCUAGAGGAAGAGAGCGAGAGAGAGAGCAUGAGAAAGUAAGAACCAGGUAAAGAGAAGGAGUAAGAGAAGCCCAAACUGAGUUACUGGUGCCUACUUACCCGUUUGAGUGGUCUAUGGUCCAUCAAGGGGCUUCACAGAAACAGCAAACAACACCGACGAUUAGCACAGACAGACACAAACACACACAGACACACACACAAACACACACAGACACAGACACAAACACACUGGGUUGGAGCGAGGAGGGUUGGGGUACGGCCAUGCUAGAGAUAUAUAGUGAUGUAGUGACAGCUGGUCUGACACCAGGAUGUAGUGUGUAUUAGUGAUGUAGUGACAGUUGGUCUGACACCAGGAUGUAGUGUGUAUUAGUAAUGUAGUGACAGUUGGUCUGACACCAGAAAGAGGUAGUGUGUAUGAGUGAUGUAGUGACAGCUGGUAUGACACCAGAAGGAGGUAGUGUGUAUGAGUGAUGUAGUGACAUCUGGUCUGACACCAGAAGGAGGUACUGUGUAUUAGUAAUGUAGUGACAGCUAGUCUGACACCAGGAUGUAGUGUGUAUUAGUGACAUUGUGACAGCUGGUCUGACACCAGAAGAAGGUAGUGUGUAUUAGUAAUGUAGUGACUGCUGGUCUGACACCAGAAGGAGGUACUGUGUAUUAGUAAUGUAGUGACAGCUAGUCUGACACCAGGAUGUAGUGUGUAUUAGUGACAUUGUGACAGCUGGUCUGACACCAGAAGAAGGUAGUGUGUAUUAGUGAUGUAGUGACAGCUGGUAUGACACCAGAAGAAGGUAGUGUGUAUUAGUAAUGUAGUGACAGCUAGUCCGAUACCAGAAGGAGGUAGUGUGUAUGAGUGAUGUAGUGACAGCUGGUAUGACACCAGAAGGAGGUAGUGUGUAUGAGUGAUGUAGUGACAUCUGGUCUGACACCAGAAGGAGGUACUGUGUAUUAGUAAUGUAGUGACAGCUAGUCUGACACCAGGAUGUAGUGUGUAUUAGUGACAUUGUGACAGCUGGUCUGACACCAGAAGAAGGUAGUGUGUAUUAGUAAUGUAGUGACUGCUGGUCUGACACCAGAAGGAGGUACUGUGUAUUAGUAAUGUAGUGACAGCUAGUCUGACACCAGGAUGUAGUGUGUAUUAGUGACAUUGUGACAGCUGGUCUGACACCAGAAGAAGGUAGUGUGUAUUAGUGAUGUAGUGACAGCUGGUAUGACACCAGAAGAAGGUAGUGUGUAUUAGUAAUGUAGUGACAGCUAGUCCGAUACCAGAAGGAGGUAGUGUGUAUGAGUGAUGUGGUGACAGCUGGUCUGACCCCAGAAGGAGGUACUGUGUAUGAGUGAUGUAGUGACAGCUGGUCUGACACCAGAAGGAGGUAAUGUGUAUUAGUAAUGUAGUGACAGCUGGUCUGACACCAGAAGGAGGUAGUGUGUAUGAGUGAUGUAGUGACAGCUGGUCUGACACCAGAAGAAGGUAGUGUGUAUGAGUGAUGUAGUGACAGCUGGUAUGACACCAGAAGGAGGUACUGUGUAUGAGUG
Esox lucius (northern pike) is the source of this 12066-nucleotide long non-coding RNA. NCBI's taxonomy places the organism in Eukaryota, Metazoa, Chordata, Actinopteri, Esociformes, Esocidae. The record is from Ensembl.